AAUGAAUUGCCUGAUAAAAAGGAUUACCUUGAUAGGGUAAAUCAUGCAGUUUUCUGCAUUCAUUGCCA
RNAcentral lists this transfer RNA (68 nucleotides) under Drosophila melanogaster (fruit fly). RNAcentral's name for it is "tRNA-Ile". Lineage: Eukaryota; Metazoa; Arthropoda; Insecta; Diptera; Drosophilidae. The record is from RNAcentral.